GGGCGACCUGCCCCUUGGAAGAAACACCUGGAGUCGGUGAGCAGCGGGGUUCUUUCCACUGUGACUGCCACGGUGCUGCAAGUCACCGCCAUGGUUCUGCAAGUCGUGGGAACGGGCGCCGGGCGCCGCUUCUCAGGGCAGAGCCCACGCGGGCAGCAGCGGCCUCAGGAGGAGCCCUCUGCUUGGCCUGGGGAGCUGGCGGGCUGGCUGGACCCAUGGAGGAGCUGCCCAAGCAGACACAACAGUGGGAAAAGCCAAAGGAAAGAGAAUCCUUCCAUGUGACCGGUCGGAAGAGUCUAGUGCGGCUGGCGGGCUGUCCGGGGCGAGCGGUUAGGCUCUCUAGGUGAGUGAGACCUUGAGGGCUGGACUGAGGGAUUGGAGGACAGCAGGGAGCUGCUGAAGAUUGUUAGCAAGAAAGGGACUAGUGAGUUGGCUUUUUCCCUGGGGGCUCCGGGGAGCCAGUGAGGAGGCUUCCACGGAGGCCAGGCCUGAGUCAGGGACAGGCCUUGAGCACUGCACCUCCCGCGGACAGCAUCUCUCAGGGCGUGCGGGCCUGCAGGCAGGGGCUGACUCGGGGCUCACUGCGCGGGUGUUGAAAGCCCCAGCAAAGAUGAGGAAGAGGCCAAGGGAGGUGGGUGUUCCAGGACAGCCGGGCUCCGCCCCUUUCUGGUCCAGAGGCGGCCAGGGUCCGUGAGAGGUCUGGGCUCCGACCAGAGGCUGGUCUGCUCAGACCGCCACCCCCUUUCCCGACUGCUCUGGGAUCGGGCUGCCAGGAUUCCCGUCCCGCCCUGCUCCCCGGGGCCUGUCACGCGGGGCGGAUUGCUGGGCGGAUUGCUUCAUUUCCCUCUUGGCGCAGUGCCGAUGACCACAGCACCUGCCUCGCCGGGCUGCCGUGUGGAUUAAAUGCACUGAUGCCAUCAGAGAGCCGCGAAUGGGGGCUGCGCUGGGGGGAGGCGUCACUCUGGAGCCGCCCCCCUCCCUGUCCCUCCCACCCCACCUCCCUGUCUCCACCCCACACCCCACCCGGCCCCAUUUUCUUCUUCCCUCCUUCAAAACCAAAAACAAAACCUACGAGCCACUGACCCGGUCAGGUGUGUUUCAUGAGAACAAG
Bos taurus (domestic cattle) is the source of this 1111-nucleotide long non-coding RNA. The record is from Ensembl. Lineage: Eukaryota; Metazoa; Chordata; Mammalia; Artiodactyla; Bovidae.